RNAcentral lists this ribosomal RNA (345 nucleotides) under Streptococcus mitis. RNAcentral describes it as "bacterial SSU rRNA". It matches the Rfam family "Bacterial small subunit ribosomal RNA", at positions 155 to 488 of the family's 1533-position model. The record is from RNAcentral. Lineage: Bacteria; Bacillati; Bacillota; Bacilli; Lactobacillales; Streptococcaceae.
AACGAUAGCUAAUACCGCAUAACAGUAGAUGUUGCAUGACAUUUGCUUAAAAGGUGCAAUUGCAUCACUACCAGAUGGACCUGCGUUGUAUUAGCUAGUUGGUGGGGUAACGGCUCACCAAGGCGACGAUACAUAGCCGACCUGAGAGGGUGAUCGGCCACACUGGGACUGAGACACGGCCCAGACUCCUACGGGAGGCAGCAGUAGGGAAUCUUCGGCAAUGGACGGAAGUCUGACCGAGCAACGCCGCGUGAGUGAAGAAGGUUUUCGGAUCGUAAAGCUCUGUUGUAAGAGAAGAACGGGUGUGAGAGUGGAAAGUUCACACUGUGACGGUAUCUACCAGAA